UGUUAUUUUGGGAAAGGAAGUGAUCAUCUUUUAUUUUUCCACCUAUUGUGAUAUAAUUAAAUAAAUAUGAAUUAAGACAAAAUAUGGAAGAGAAUAGGAAGGUUACCUUUUUCUUUUAUUUGAGUCUUUAUGGGAAAAUUAGGAUAAAGAGGGAAUGGGAAAAAAGGAAGAGCAUUAUGCUCUUGGGGCUGCCGAAUUAUAAAGAGAAGAGAGAGAGGGCGUGAACUAGAGAGAGAAGGGGAAGAAGAAAGAAAGGAAGAAGGAGAAGUAGAAGGGUUCAAGCUAGGGGUUUUAACAAGGAGGUGCUUCUAGAUUGGAUUCUUGAUUUCUAUCAAUAGAGGUAGCAAAUAAGUUUCUCUAUGGCACGCGUGGUGAUGUGGGGAGUUCUAUCGUCGUGGUGUGUAUGGCAUGGGGGCAUUCUAUGGACAAAAAACGAUCAAUUAAAAACAACAUUUUUAAUAAUGUAAUGUUUUAUGAGACUUUUUAAACUUAUCAGUGGGACUUGAAUUAUUGGUUGUUUUGGAACUUUGCAUAAAUGAUAUUUUCUUUUAAAACUAUUGGGCCCAACUUGCAUGUUUUAAGCAAGACCCCACUGAAACCUUUAUAAUA
Molecule: long non-coding RNA, 609 nt
Organism: Humulus lupulus (European hop)
Lineage: Eukaryota; Viridiplantae; Streptophyta; Magnoliopsida; Rosales; Cannabaceae
Exons: 3
Source: RefSeq, a predicted model, not a curated record